This 164-nucleotide small nucleolar RNA is filed under the name Prunus dulcis (almond). Its description in RNAcentral is "sRNA ncRNA". Lineage: Eukaryota; Viridiplantae; Streptophyta; Magnoliopsida; Rosales; Rosaceae. The record is from RNAcentral.
GAAUGACAGGGAAGAUGAGAGGGGAGGAAGGAGGAGGGAGUAACAAAAGUGAAAACAAAAACUUGAAAAUGAAAACAAUUUCAAACAGAUUUCAGUUUUUAGUUUUUGUUUUCACUUUUGUUACUCCUUCCUCCCUCCUCCCCUCUCAUCUUCCCUCUCAUUCU